This 424-nucleotide ribosomal RNA is filed under the name Cytherissa lata. RNAcentral's name for it is "partial small subunit ribosomal RNA". The record is from RNAcentral. Lineage: Eukaryota; Metazoa; Arthropoda; Ostracoda; Podocopida; Cytherideidae.
UUUAAUAGUCGAACAGACUAGCUUGCUUGGCUGCUACACUAAGCAGCACCUUUAAUUCAACAUCGAGGUCACAAGAUCUUUUAUCGAAUAGGCCUCUCUAAAAGCAUUGUGCUGUUAUCCCUGAGGUAACUACUCUUUAACUUGCUAAAGAUCUUGGUGGCGGCUAUGGGGUUGAUUUAUAAAUUAGAUAUGUUACUUGACCGCCCCAGUUUGACACAACAGCAACGAACCCCCAAAUUGUUUGAGGCUGAGUUUAGCUCUAAGCCAGCUCUGCAGGGUCUUAUCUUCCCAUUGGUUGGUUUUGAAGUUUUAAUCAAAGCCUUAAGUUGUAGUUUUACAGGUCUACAGAUCGUCUUUCAUGAACCCCUUCAUUCUAGACCCCAAUUAAGAACCAAAUUAUUAUGCUACCUUUGCACAGUUAAGG